AUACGUAGGGGGCGAGCGUUGUCCGGAAUGAUUGGGCGUAAAGGGCGCGUAGGCGGCCCGGUAAGUCUGGAGUGAAAGUCCUGUUUUUAAGAUGGGAAUUGCUUUGGAUACUGUCGGGCUUGAGUGCAGGAGAGGUAAGUGGAAUUCCCAGUGUAGCGGUGAAAUGCGUAGAGAUUGGGAGGAACACCAGUGGCGAAGGCGACUUACUGGACUGUAACUGACGCUGAGGCGCGAAAGUGUGGGGAGCAAACAGGAUUAGAUACCCUGGUAGUCCACACUGUAAACGAUGAAUGCUAGGUGUAGGGGGUAUCGACCCCAUCUGUGCCGCAGUCAACACAAUAAGCAUUCCGCCUGGGGAGUACGGCCGCAAGGUUGAAACUCAAAUGAAUUGACGGGG
This 397-nucleotide ribosomal RNA is filed under the name uncultured bacterium. RNAcentral describes it as "partial 16S ribosomal RNA". It matches the Rfam family "Bacterial small subunit ribosomal RNA", at positions 523 to 918 of the family's 1533-position model. The record is from RNAcentral.